Molecule: ribosomal RNA, 1023 nt
Filed under: uncultured soil eukaryote
Lineage: Eukaryota
Description: partial small subunit ribosomal RNA
Rfam family: Eukaryotic small subunit ribosomal RNA
Source: RNAcentral
CUGAUCCAUCAAUUUGUUUGUGGUAUCUUUGACUACAAAGUUUAUCACGGAUAACGAAAGAUCAGGGUUUGAUUUCGGAGAAAAAGCAUGAGAGUCCGCUUUUACUUCUAAGGGAGGCAGCAGGCGCGUAAAUUAUUCAAUAUCGAUUUGAUGAAAUAGUGACUAGAAAUAUCAAAGUAGGAAAUUAUAUUUGCUGUGUUUGAAAUGUGUACAAUUUAAAAACCUUAACGAGGAACUAUUGGAGGGCAAGUCUGGUGCCAGCAUCCGCGGUAAUUCCAGCUCCAAGAGUGUAUUUGAAAGUUGUUGUGGUUAAAAAGCUCGUAGUUGAAAUUAGAUUUUUUAUCCUGAGUCCUAUCGUAAGAUAGUUCUCAUUCAGGGAAGGAUAUCAGAAGUUUAAAGUAGGAAAUGGUGGUAAAACACCACGAAUUAGAUGGAAAGGAAAUAGACUGUUUAUCCGGAAGCUUAGGCCGAUGGAAAUUUAAAUGAGAUUCGCUUUGAAUAAAUUAGAGUGUUCAAAACAAGCAUUUAGCUUGAAUAUAUUAGCAUGGUACGACGAAAAUGAUACGAGUUACAUUGAUAAUCUCUAUGAGAGUGAGAUUUUAGGACUGAUAAAAAGGGACGAGUGAUCAAACCCUUAUAGAGUGCAACUUUUAUGAUGAUUAAAAGGGACAGUUGGAGUAAUUAUUAUUGUGUGGGAAGAGGUGAAAUUCUAUGAUCCAUGCAAGAAUGACUAAUGCGAAGGCAUUUUACUAGAAUGUUUUCAUUAAUCAAGAACUAAGGAUAUGGGAGCCAAGAUGAUUAGAUACCGUUGUAGUCAUAUCUGUAAACUAUGUUGAUUUAGGAUAAGAAGUUGUUAUACGUAUGACUCUUCUUGCACUGUACGAGAAAUCAAAAUAUCCAAACUCCAGGGGGAUUAUGGACUCAAGUCUGAAACUUAAAAGAAUUGACGGAAGGGCACCACCAGGUGUGGAGCUUGUGGCUUAAUUUGACCCAACACGGGGAAACUUACUAGGUCAGGAAAUU